Molecule: microRNA precursor, 78 nt
Filed under: Schistosoma bovis
Lineage: Eukaryota; Metazoa; Platyhelminthes; Trematoda; Strigeidida; Schistosomatidae
Also listed under: 1 other name
Description: mir-3492 microRNA precursor family
Rfam family: mir-3492 microRNA precursor family
Source: Rfam by way of RNAcentral
AGCUUUUCGAAUCCGUGCAGAGAUUUAUUCAGACACCAACCCAUUAGGGCUGACCAGAUUUCCAACACAAGUGAAGCU